AUUGCCCUUUGUUUCUGGCCCUGUGCGGCUGGAGGCGGCCAGCACUGUCCUGUCCUGGUUGAAGCAAUUUUAAUGUGUGUGGGGUGCUGAAUGUGGGCUGGGGAUGGCUUCCCUGCCUUUGGGUCAUGGGGAGACACACUUGCAGAGGGGUUUUGUGGGUCUUCCUCAAGAAUAUCAUCCCUGAAAUUUUUAACCUGCUAAAAGGGUAUUCCUCCCUUCAUCUUACAGAAUCACCACUUCACAUCUGUAAGCAGAGCGCUGGCUAACUCUGUGGCUUAAGCAGAGGUCAGAACAUCUGAAGUGAUC
RNAcentral lists this long non-coding RNA (306 nucleotides) under Homo sapiens (human). RNAcentral's name for it is "non-protein coding lnc-LRRC30-3:1". The record is from RNAcentral. Lineage: Eukaryota; Metazoa; Chordata; Mammalia; Primates; Hominidae.